Long non-coding RNA from Oncorhynchus tshawytscha (Chinook salmon), 1557 nucleotides. Lineage: Eukaryota; Metazoa; Chordata; Actinopteri; Salmoniformes; Salmonidae. The record is from Ensembl.
GUUACAUUAUACUGUAUUAGAACACAACUGUACUUUAGAACCAGAAGAGACUCCACUAUCAACAUGAGAAAUGAUGGUCAACUGUAUAGACACACAUAUGCUGGGAUUCAAUCCAAUACUGUAUAGACACACAUAUGCUGGGAUUCAAUCCAAUACUGUAUAGACACACAUAGGCUGGGAUUCAAUCCAAUACUGUAUAGACACACAUAGGCUGGGAUUCAAUCCAAUACUGUAUAGACACACAUAGGCUGGGAUUCAAUCCAAUACUGUACAGACACAUAGGCUGGGAUUCAAUCCAAUACUGUAUAGACACAUAGGCUGGGAUUCAAUCCAAUACUGUAUAGACACAUAGGCUGGGAUUCAAUCCAAUACUGUACAGACACAUAGGCUGGGAUUCAAUCCAAUACUGUAUAGACACAUAGGUUGGGAUACAAUCCAAUACUGUAUAGACAGACAGGCUGGGAUUCAAUCCAAUACUGUAUAGACAGACACACAGACUGGGAUUCAAUCCAAUACUGUACAGACAGACACAUAGGCUGGGAUUCAAUCCAAUACUGUAUAGACACACACAGGCUGGGAUUCAAACCAAUACUGUAUAGACAGACACACAGGCUGGGAUUCAAUCCAAUACUGUACAGACAGACACAUAGGCUGGGAUUCAAUCCAAUACUGUACAGACAGACACAUAGGCUGGGAUUCAAUCCAAUACUGUAUAGACACACACAGGCUGGGAUUUAAUCCAAUACUGUAUAGACACACAGACUGGGAUUCAAUCCAACACUGUACAGACAGACACAUAGGCUGGGAUUCAAUCCAUUACUGUAUAGACACACACUGGCUGGGAUUCAAUCCAAUACUGUAUAGACAGACACACAGGCUGGGAUUCAAUCCAAUACUGUACAGACAGACACAUAGGCUGGGAUUCAAUCCAAUACUGUACAGACAGACACACAGGCUGGGAUUCAAUCCAAUACUGUACAGACAGACACACAGGCUGGGAUUCAAUCCAAUACUGUACAGACAGACACACAGGCUGGGAUUCAAUCCAAUACUGUAUACACACACACAGGCUGGGAUUCAAUCCAAUACUGUAUAGACACACACAGGCUGGGAUUCAAUCCAAUACUGUAUAGACACACACAGGCUGGGAUUCGUAAGGUCGCUAGUUCAACUCCAGGAGCAGACAAGGUGAAGCAUUUGUCUGUGUGCCCUUGAGCAAGGCACUCAACCUCAAUUGCUCCAGGGAUGUCAUUGAUCAUGUCUGACCCUGUCUAAAGACCCCAGCUCUCUGUGGGUGUUGAUAAUGUCUGACCCUGUCUAAAGACCCCAGCUCUCUGUGGGUGUUGAUAAUGUCUGACCCUGUCUAAAGACCCCAGCUCUCUGUGGGUGUUGAUAAUGUCUGACCCUGUCUAAAGACCCCAGCUCUCUGUGGGUGUUGAUAAUGUCUGACCCUGUCUAAAGACUCCAGCUCUCUGUGGGUGUUGAUAAUGUCUGACCCUGUCUAAAGACCCCAGCUCUCUGUGGGUGUUGAUAAUGUCUGACCCUGUCUAAAGACCC